GAAACGACUGCUAAGACUGGAUAGGAGAUAAGAAGGCAUCUUUUUAUUUUUAAAAGACCUAGCAAUAGGUAUGCUUAGGGAAGAGCUUGCGUCACAUUAGCUAGUUGGUGGGGUAAUGGCCUACCAAGACGAUGAUGUGUAGCCGGGCUGAGAGGUCGAACGGCCACAUUGGGACUGAGACACGGCCCAAACUCCUACGGGAGGCAGCAGUAAGGAAUUUUCGGCAAUGGAGGAAACUCUGACCGAGCAAUGCCGCGUGAACGAUGAAGUAUUUCGGUACGUAAAGUUCUUUUAUUAGGGAAGAAAAGAUGGUGGAAAAACCAUUAUGACGGUACCUAAUGAAUAAGCCCCGGCUAACUAUGUGCCAGCAGCCGCGGUAAUACAUAGGGGGCAAGCGUUAUCCGGAAUUAUUGGGCGUAAAGGGUGCGUAGGCGGUUAAAUAAGUUUAUGGUCUAAGUGCAACGCUCAACGUUGUGAUGCUAUAAAAACUGUUUAGCUAGAGUUGGAUAGAGGCAAGUGGAAUUCCGUGUGUAGUGGUAAAAUGCGUAAAUAUACGGAGGAACACCAGAAGCGAAGGCGGCUUGCUGGGUCUUAACUGACGCUGAGGCACGAAAGCGUGGGGAGCAAACAGGAUUAGAUACCCUGGUAGUCCACGCCCUAAACGAUGAGUACUAAACGUUGGAUAAAACCAGUGUUGAAGUUAACACAUUAAGUACUCCGCCUGAGUAGUACGUACGCAAGUAUGAAACUUAAAGGAAUUGACGGGACUCCGCACAAGCGGUGGAUCAUGUUGUUUAAUUCGAAGGUACCCGAAAAACCUCACCAGGUCUUGACAUGCUUUUGCAAAGCUGUAGAAAUACAGUGGAGGUUAUCAGAAGCACAGGUGGUGCAUGGUUGUCGUCAGCUCGUGUCGUGAGAUGUUGGGUUAAGUCCCGCAACGAGCGCAACCCUUGUUGUUAAUUGCCAUCAUUAAGUUGGGGACUUUAGCAAGACUGCCAAUGAUAAAUUGGAGGAAGGUGGGGACGACGUCAAAUCAUCAUGCCCCUUAUGACCUGGGCUACAAACGUGAUACAAUGGCUGUUACAAAGGGUAGCUAAAGCGUAAGCUUCUGGCGAAUCUCAAAAAAGCAGUCUCAGUUCGGAUUGAAGUCUGCAACUCGACUUCAUGAAGUUGGAAUCGCUAGUAAUCGCGAAUCAGCAUGUCGCGGUGAAUACGUUCUCGGGGUUUGUACACACCGCCCGUCA
Molecule: ribosomal RNA, 1244 nt
Filed under: Phytoplasma sp. BN-Op125
Lineage: Bacteria; Bacillati; Mycoplasmatota; Mollicutes; Acholeplasmatales; Acholeplasmataceae
Description: bacterial SSU rRNA
Rfam family: Bacterial small subunit ribosomal RNA
Source: RNAcentral